This 548-nucleotide ribosomal RNA is filed under the name uncultured bacterium. Its description in RNAcentral is "bacterial SSU rRNA". It matches the Rfam family "Bacterial small subunit ribosomal RNA", at positions 355 to 895 of the family's 1533-position model. The record is from RNAcentral.
UAGGGAAUCUUCGGCAAUGGGGGCAACCCUGACCGAGCAACGCCGCGUGAGUGAAGAAGGUUUUCGGAUCGUAAAGCUCUGUUGUAAGUCAAGAACGAGUGUGAGAGUGGAAAGUUCACACUGUGAUGGUAGCUUACCAGAAAGGGACGGCUAACUACGUGCCAGCAGCCGCGGUAAUACGUAGGUCCCGAGCGUUGUCCGGAUUUAUUGGGCGUAAAGCGAGCGCAGGCGGUUUGAUAAGUCUGAAGUUAAAGGCUGUGGCUCAACCAUAGUUCGCUUUGGAAACUGUCAAACUUGAGUGCAGAAGGGGAGAGUGGAAUUCCAUGUGUAGCGGUGAAAUGCGUAGAUAUAUGGAGGAACACCGGUGGCGAAAGCGGCUCUCUGGUCUGUAACUGACGCUGAGGCUCGAAAGCGUGGGGAGCGAACAGGAUUAGAUACCCUGGUAGUCCACGCCGUAACGAUGAGUGCUAGGUGUUGGAUCCUUUCCGGGAUUCAGUGCCGCAGCUAACGCAUUAAGCACUCCGCCUGGGGAGUACGACCGCAAGGUU